Molecule: long non-coding RNA, 4454 nt
Filed under: Bos grunniens (domestic yak)
Lineage: Eukaryota; Metazoa; Chordata; Mammalia; Artiodactyla; Bovidae
Description: lncRNA (ENSBGRG00000001212.1)
Source: RNAcentral
CGAUUAAGAAACUUCCAUUUUCCUUUCUGAACAGCAACCAUAGUCUAAUAAUAAAAUCCCUAUAUUUAAAUAUCUUGAAAAUUCUUUAAAAAGAACAAUAAUUUGAACACAUUGUUUGAAAAGCUAUGAUCUGUAAAAAUAUUCUGUUAAUUAUCACAGCUUCUUUCUUACCACAGAUGAAAAAAACCUCAAUACUUGAAAAAGAAAAACUUGUCAAAAAACUAUAGAUAAUAUUUAAAGGAGCAAUCACAUAUUUUAAGGAGAAAUAAAAUCAAGUACCCAUCACAAUGGUACAGAGCUGCAGAUGAUAAUUAAGGAGUGUAAGACUUUGUGCCUAUAGUCAUAAAAAGGUAUGAUAUUUUGCUAUCCUCAUUGAGCUGUACAGAAUAGAACACCAGGUGAAAAAUUAAAAUCUCAUUAAAAGACAUAAUGGACAUAAGAGUGGGAUCACAAGUUCAUGAUUGCACAGCAUAAGAAACACUGAUGCAGAGAGCCCUGGGCUCAUCACAGGAUAAGGAGAUAAUUCUAGCUAAAGCAAUCACACAGGACUCAACAGCUUCUUGGUUCUGUCAAAAGCUGCCUCACAGAAUACACAGUGCAAAUAUGUAUCUCAACUUAAAGUGGAAGACAAGAGUUGAGGAGGAGAAAGUAAAUAGAGUCAUCUUGCCUGAGAUGAAGCUCAUAAUUUUCUCUAAACCAAACUGCCUCCGGAGGGGAAACUCACAGCCUAGAAGACUGCAAGAGGAAUGUGCUGAGAACGCAUGUCUCGGGUCCUGGUUUCCCGUGAAGUGGGCUGUGAUGUCCCGGCUAGGUGUGGGUCUGAAGAUCAUCAGAACUGCUUCACCACUUGCCAACCUGCUCACUUUCCCCUGAGUUACUUUCCAAAUUGGAAAAUCAGUGAUUCAUACGAGAAAAACAACAGAUUUGGAGUUGGACAUAUUGGUGUCUCACUGGCUACAUAAUGCUAGUAUUAAAAAAAAAAAAGUGGGAGAUUAUCUCAACUGAGGAUUCUUUUCUUUUAGAAAAGAUCCCAUUGUAUAUGCAUGUUCCAUCUGGCCUCCAUAUCACUUUGUAAGAUUGGGGCUUGGGGACUCAGUAAACCUAGGAUAAUACUCUUGGCAUGGUUUUGUUGUGAGUAAUAAAGUCCUUUGUUUCUGACUCAGGAGUCUGUUAUCUUUUGUCAGUAUCCAUGGAUCUUAUUAGCUCUUAUCCACACAAUGAGACUUAAAUAAAUAUAAAACCCAUGUUAUAAUUUACAUUCAAGAAAGCAUAAUCAUUAAAUAGUAUUGUGUUUAUUCAUCUGGGCCAAUUAACACACAUUGGAACACUUAAUAAAUUGACCAGACACACUUCAUAAAAUCCCACAAUAGGUCAUAUAAUAGAUAUUGUUAAAGUCAUUUUAAAAAAUAAUAAUACUGAGAUUCAGGUUUGAACAGUUUGAAAUACUAUGUAAGUAUUAGGCUCUUGGAGGCAUCAAGGCAGGAGAGUGAUUAGAGUAACAAAUGCAGGUAGAAUGGCCCUUUACACAGCUUUUCUUGGUAAUUUUGCCAAAACCAGCUGUGACCCUUCUCCCAGAGAUCACACACAAUGAAUUUUCUAGCAAGUUUUGUCCCUAACUCUGCACAGGUUCUCAACCCUCCUCAUCUUAUAGGUGAGGAGGUAUCAGGACUUUGUGGACUUAAUCAUGAAGAGAGUGAUGAUUUAGGAGUACGAAAGCCUCAUUUUGCAUCAUGUCUCUCCCACUGUCUGCCUCUGUGUCGAGAUAAGUUAAAUAACCUCUGUUGAGCUCAUUUUACUUAGUACAAAAUGGAGACAGUAAUUCUCCCUGGGAAGGGUCACUGUGUCUGGCACUUGGUAGGUACCCAGUGAAUGGGACACAUCAUUACCACUUCCAAGUCAUACAGCUCAUCAGUGGGAAAGAGAGGCUCUGAUGCGGAGACUCCUGAUAUUUCACAGUUUAAUCAGCUGGAAACCUUUCUUAUCCUGUGGCUCAAAGAAAGAUGAUUCACACAAAAUCCUACAGGAACAGUUGGGGAGGGAUUUGGGGGAAGUCCUUCUAGGCUGACACCGGCGCUGUAAGAGUCACCCCUGGAGAAGUAAUUCUGGGGAGCAAGGUGCCCUUGAUCUGCAGCUGAAGUGUUGUUUAAGUGCCUCAGAGCUUCUCUAAAAUCUUCCUUUGACUUAAAACAGGACAGUAUCCUUUUAUUUAAUCUUCAAAGAAAGGUAUUCCAUUCAUUGAGCUCUUACCUCCUCACUGAGAAAAGGACAGUGAUAAGACAAGGGUGCAAAAUGUGAAGGCAUAUGAGCUGCUCUCUUCAGAGCCAGUUCUCAAAGAAAGAUCAGGCUGUAAACCAGAGCAGUUAAUAUCGAACAUGGCAGUUAAGUCUGAGCUGCUUGUAACUCCAGGAAUAUGAUACAAAUAUACUUGAGGACUGAGGGCUCAUGGGGGGAAGAUUUCAGUUUCUGUAUUGCUCUCUGUAUUUAAAUAAUGCUAAAUAAGAGAGUGAAUUCAGGGUCAGGAAUGGAAAAGGGGAUGAGGAACACUGGAAAAAGAGCAUCACGCAGGUUAGGCAAACUAGCUUUUGAAUGAAUGGGAGCAAGGUCCAAAUCCUGGCUGUUUCAUGAGCAAGUAAACUUGGCAAUGCUCUUUGCCUUACUUGACCCACAGGCAACUAAGGAAAAGAGUUAUCUCCUGGGAGUAUCAUCUAAGUUAAAAAAUAUAAUGUGUGUAACACCUAGCAGUUAAUAAACAUUCAGUACAAGGGAAAUUAGUACUAUUUGAGAGUAAAGUUCAAAAGCAAAACAUUUAUGCACUCUAAUAAUUUCUUUGCACGAGCAAAUAAAUUUUGUACUAUUUUGAUCUUUCCCACUUUAACUUUUAUUAAACAAGAACAUAGGUGGCUCAGAUGGUAAAGAAUUUGCCUGAAAGGAGGGAGACCUGGGUUUGAUUCCUGGGUUGGGAAGAUUCCCCUGGAGAAGUGAACAGCUACCUACUCUAGUAUUCUGGCCUGGAGAAUUCCUUGGACAGAGAACCCUGACAAGCUAUUCUUUGGAACUCUGCAUUCAGAUGCUUAUAUCUUUCCUUUUCUCCUUUGCUUUUCGCUUCUCUUCUUUUCACAGCUAUUUGUAAGGCCUCCUCAGACAGCCAUUUUGCUUUUUUGCAUUUCUUUUCCAUGGGGAUGAUCUUGAUCCCUGUCUCCUGUACAAUGUCAUGAAUCUCCAUCCAUAGUUCAACAGGCACUCGGUCUAUCAGAUCUAGUCCCUUAAACCUAUUUCUCACUUCCACUGUAUUUGAUUGGGAUUUGAUUUAGGUCAUACCUGAAUGGUCUAGUGGUUCUCCCUACUUUCUUCAAUUUAAGUCUGAAUUUGGCAAUAAGGAGUUCAUGAUCUGAGCCACAGUCAGCUCCCGGUCUUCUUUUUGCUGACUAUAUAGAGCUUUUCCAUCUUUGGUUGCAUAUAAUCAAUCUGAUUUUGGUAUUGACCAUCUGGUGAUGUCCAUGUGUAGAGUCUUCUCUUGUGUUGUUGGAAGCGGGUGUUUGCUAUGACCAGUGAGUUCUCUUGGCAAAACUCUGUUAGCCUUUGCUGUGUGCUGUGCUAAGUCACUGUAGUCAUGUCUAACUCUUUAUGACCCCCCAUGUACUGUAGCCCGCCAGGCUUCUCUGAUCAUGGGGUUUUCCAGGCAAGAAUACUAGAAUGGGUUGCCAUUUCCUCCUCCAGGGGAUCUUCCCAUCCCAGGGAUCAAACCAGCGUCUCUCAGUCCUCCUGCAUUGGUAGGCAGGCUCUUUACCGCUAGUGCCACGUGCCCUGCUUCAUUUUGUACCCCAAGGCCAAAUUUGCCUGUCACUCCAGGUAUGUCUUGACUUCCUCUUUUCUCAUUACAGUCCCACAUAAUGAAAAGGACAUCUUUUUUGGGUGUUUGUUCUAGAAGGUCUUAUAGGUCUUCAUAGAACCGUUCAACUUCAGCUUCUUCAGCAUUACUGGUUGGGGCGUAGACUUGGAUUACUGUUAUAUUGAAUAGUAUAGUGAUGGUAUAGUGUGAUAUUGAUAUGGUAUAGUGUUUCCCAAAAUUCCAUGAUGAGAAGAAUCCCUCAAGAUAUUUGGUAGAAACAUAAAUUCUGUAGCCCCAUUCAAAUCCAAAUCUACAAGACAGGUCACUACGGAAGCUCUAUGUUUCAUGAGCACUCCAGGUGAUUGCUAUCGUUUGCAAAGUUUGGGAAGAUCAUUACAAAACACAGAGGUUAGUGUUCUAAGCCUGUCAUCUGUUUUAAUUGGCAGUUCUUUUAGUACAAAGAGAAUUGUUUUGAUCUAUAACAUUAAAGCUAUAUUAGUGGCAAGUAUAAAGAUUAAUCCUGAGUCUUUAAGAAGAGCAGAGAUAUCUCAUUAGAAACAUCCCUAAAAUUUCAACAACUAAAUACUCCAGAAUAUUUAAAGCAAAUCAUAAAGUCAUAUCAAAC